This is a long non-coding RNA of Ictalurus punctatus (channel catfish), 646 nucleotides long. The record is from Ensembl. NCBI's taxonomy places the organism in Eukaryota, Metazoa, Chordata, Actinopteri, Siluriformes, Ictaluridae.
AAAAGAAAAGAAAACAGCACUGCAUUGAAAUACAAUAACAUGAAAGAAAAAAGAAGAGGAAAAAAAACAAAACAAAACAAAAAAACAAUAGCACCUCAAUCACUCGUCCGCACCAGUCACGUUGCAUCAUGGGAUUAUUUGACUUGCGUAGCAGUACGCCAUCCGGGUAUUUCUCGCCUACUGAGAAUUCGGAUACACUACACCUCUGACAUGGCCACUAUAUAGUAGAGCUGGGCAGUUUUCAUCAGACUUCUUCACAGAUCCAAACGUUUUGCCUCUUCUUAUGGCUGGUCGACACACUGGUUUCCCUCAUUGGACUUUGUAAUUUACAGGUUUCCCUUUGACAGUUUUUUCCUCUUAAAAUGUUAACACACUGUUAAAAAAAAUGUACAGUGUACAGUGCCCUCCACUAAUAUUGGCACCCUUGGUAAAUAUGAACAAAGAAGGCUGUGAACAAUUGUCUUUAUUGUUUAACUUUUUGAUCUUUUGUUAAAAAAAAUCCUCUCAUGGAUAUCAAACAAUUGCAAAUGAAACAAGGUUAUAAAAAUAUUUGUUAAAUAUAGAUUUUUAAAAAAAAAUGUUUAUAUUUAUGAAAGAUUUUGAUAUUGUUUUACAUUCACAGGAUCACCACAAGACUAAAACUGAC